ACAGCGGCCAUUGAGUCACUUUACAAAGGCAGUUGAAUAUGCUUUCAAGACUUUUGGUGAGAUGAGGAAUAAUGGAGUUAUUCCUUAGAAGGUAACAUUUUUUUUAUCAGCCUGAGGAGGGAGGUAACGCAUAAUCUGAAAGAAAUAUUAAUUUCAAUGAACAAGGGGAUUCCAUUCCUCAAGAAACUUGAAGUUGGAUUAGGAGAGUGAAAACUCCAUGAGAAUUGUCAUGACUAUAAAACAUAAAUCUAAUCAACCUGGCAAUGGUUAUGGUGGAUGCUGCAUUGCAUGUAUGCGGUGGCUGGCAAGAUGAUUGGGCUCAUGGCUCAAAGGGGUUGUGAUUCACGUUUGUUUC
RNAcentral lists this long non-coding RNA (355 nucleotides) under Phaseolus vulgaris (common bean). RNAcentral describes it as "long non-coding RNA (PVUL_LNC004811)". The record is from RNAcentral. Lineage: Eukaryota; Viridiplantae; Streptophyta; Magnoliopsida; Fabales; Fabaceae.